UAAAUAUAAGCACGAAAAAUUUUGAUUUUUUAAGAGGUGGUUAGGGUCCAUUAUAUAUAA
Molecule: transfer RNA, 60 nt
Filed under: Qianguimon aflagellum
Lineage: Eukaryota; Metazoa; Arthropoda; Malacostraca; Decapoda; Potamidae
Description: tRNA-Gln
Source: RNAcentral